Molecule: non-coding RNA, 90 nt
Organism: Mycena polygramma
Lineage: Eukaryota; Fungi; Basidiomycota; Agaricomycetes; Agaricales; Mycenaceae
Source: the annotation of a GenBank genome assembly
AGCAGUAUGGUGUAAUGCUGCACACCGUCAUCUCUUAGCAAUUUCUUCAAGAUAAACCCGGAGGUCCUUGUUCGACUCAAGGUGCUGCUC